This 454-nucleotide long non-coding RNA is filed under the name Fukomys damarensis (Damara mole-rat). RNAcentral describes it as "lncRNA (ENSFDAG00000033571.1)". Lineage: Eukaryota; Metazoa; Chordata; Mammalia; Rodentia; Bathyergidae. The record is from RNAcentral.
GAACGCUUCGAAAAUGCCACAGUUGAAUUGCAUUUAACUCAAUGGCAUCCUGAGUGAGCUUCAAGGCACGCUCACUUCUCUCAUUACGAGGCGGAACAGCUUGGAAAUGAUCGUGAACGUCUCUGAACUUUUCACUAUAGAUGAUCUGCACUACUGGAUUGGAGCCAUCAUUCUCCGACACUGGUUCUAUGUCAGCCGACUCGGCUCUGUCCCUGUACCUGACGUAGAUACCAGAACUGUUACUCAUCAGACUAAGGAAAUUUCAUCCUACUGGAAUACAUGGACAUUUAAUGAAAAAUUAUCAGAUAUUCAUCUUCUUUUUCACCAUGUACACAGAAGUAAUUCUAGUUGAAAUGAAUAAUUUGGAUACUUGAUAUUUCCAACAUUUUGGCAAACAUAACAGUUAAGAUGAUGAGAGCAUUUAUCUGAAUAAAAAUUGAAAAUGAAUGCAGAC